RNAcentral lists this ribosomal RNA (446 nucleotides) under uncultured bacterium. RNAcentral describes it as "partial 16S ribosomal RNA". It matches the Rfam family "Bacterial small subunit ribosomal RNA", at positions 338 to 795 of the family's 1533-position model. The record is from RNAcentral.
CCUACGGGGGGCAGCAGUCGAGAAUCAUUCACAAUGGGGGAAACCCUGAUGGUGCGACGCCGCGUGGGGGAAUGAAGGUCUUCGGAUUGUAAACCCCUGUCAUGUGGGAGCAAAUUAAAAAGAUAGUACCACAAGAGGAAGAGACGGCUAACUCUGUGCCAGCAGCCGCGGUAAUACAGAGGUCUCAAGCGUUGUUCGGAAUCACUGGGCGUAAAGCGUGCGUAGGCUGUUUCGUAAGUCGUGUGUGAAAGGCGCGGGCUCAACCCGCGGACGGCACAUGAUACUGCGAGACUAGAGUAAUGGAGGGGGAACCGGAAUUCUCGGUGUAGCAGGGAAAUGCGUAGAUAUGGAGAGGAACACUCGUGGCGAAGGCGGGUUGCUGGACAUUAACUGACGCUGAGGCACGAAGGCCAGGGGAGCGAAAGGGAUUAGAUACCCUUGUAGUC